RNAcentral lists this ribosomal RNA (117 nucleotides) under Saimiri boliviensis boliviensis (Bolivian squirrel monkey). Lineage: Eukaryota; Metazoa; Chordata; Mammalia; Primates; Cebidae. The record is from RNAcentral.
GUCUAUGGUCAUACCACCAGGAAUGCGCCCGAUCUUGGCCAAUCUCAGAAGCUAAGCAGGGUUGGGCCUGGUUAGUAUUUGGAUGGGAGAAAGAAAAAGAGAAGAGAGGAGUGGGGC